AUUGAACGCUGGCGGCAUGCCUUACACAUGCAAGUCGAACGGUAACAGGUCUUCGGAUGCUGACGAGUGGCGAACGGGUGAGUAAUACAUCGGAACGUGCCCGAUCGUGGGGGAUAACGCAGCGAAAGCUGUGCUAAUACCGCAUACGAUCUACGGAUGAAAGCGGGGGAUCGCAAGACCUCGCGCGGACGGAGCGGCCGAUGGCAGAUUAGGUAGUUGGUGGGAUAAAAGCUUACCAAGCCGACGAUCUGUAGCUGGUCUGAGAGGACGACCAGCCACACUGGGACUGAGACACGGCCCAGACUCCUACGGGAGGCAGCAGUGGGGAAUUUUGGACAAUGGGGGAAACCCUGAUCCAGCCAUGCCGCGUGCAGGAUGAAGGCCU
This 385-nucleotide ribosomal RNA is filed under the name uncultured bacterium. RNAcentral describes it as "bacterial SSU rRNA". It matches the Rfam family "Bacterial small subunit ribosomal RNA", at positions 30 to 417 of the family's 1533-position model. The record is from RNAcentral.